UUUUUUUUCCUUUUUUUUUGUUUGCUUGUUUUUCUGCUGUAUUUUAAGAGGAAAGAGUGAGGCUUUUAGUUUAAUGGUUUCUUUCUUUUGUUUGGGUUGCUGGAAUUCCCUGAGAAACUGAUGUUAGAUAGAGGAUAAGGAAGAGGGCAAGCUUUAAGUAACAAAGAUAAUGAGUGGGAAUUAUAUGGGUAACCUUUAAAAAGCAAAAUUUUUUUCAGAAAAG
RNAcentral lists this unclassified non-coding RNA (223 nucleotides) under Hevea brasiliensis (rubber tree). Lineage: Eukaryota; Viridiplantae; Streptophyta; Magnoliopsida; Malpighiales; Euphorbiaceae. The record is from RNAcentral.